This 182-nucleotide transfer RNA is filed under the name Pneumocystis jirovecii. RNAcentral describes it as "tRNA-Pseudo(TTT)". Lineage: Eukaryota; Fungi; Ascomycota; Pneumocystomycetes; Pneumocystales; Pneumocystaceae. The record is from RNAcentral.
UAAAAAUUAAUAUAUUAAUAUAUUUGUUUUUUUAAUAUUAAAACAAAUUUAUAAUUAAACAUUUUUAUUCAAUAAAAAAAUAUAUUAUAAUUAAAAACAAGAACAAUUCACAAUAAGAAUUUUAAUGAAUGUUUUAAGUAUUCAAUUUUAUAAAAUUUUAUAAUUAAAUUUUAAAUUUUUUA